UGGACGCAAGUCUGAUGGAGCAACGCCGCGUGAGUGAAGAAGGCUUUCGGGUCGUAAAACUCUGUUGUUGGAGAAGAAUGGUCGGCAGAGUAACUGUUGUCGGCGUGACGGUAUCCAACCAGAAAGCCACGGCUAACUACGUGCCAGCAGCCGCGGUAAUACGUAGGUGGCAAGCGUUAUCCGGAUUUAUUGGGCGUAAAGCGAGCGCAGGCGGUUUUUUAAGUCUGAUGUGAAAGCCCUCGGCUUAACCGAGGAAGUGCAUCGGAAACUGGGAAACUUGAGUGCAGAAGAGGACAGUGGAACUCCAUGUGUAGCGGUGAAAUGCGUAGAUAUAUGGAAGAACACCAGUGGCGAAGGCGGCUGUCUGGUCUGUAACUGACGCUGAGGCUCGAAAGCAUGGGUAGCGAACAGGAUUAGAUACCCUGGUAGUCCAUGCCGUAAACGAUGAAUGCUAGGUGUUGGAGGGUUUCCGCCCCUUCAGUGCUGCAGCUAACGCAUUAAGCAUUCCGCCUGGGGAGUACGACCGCAAGGUUGAAACUCAAAGGAAUUGACGGGGGCCCGCACAAGCGGUGGAGCAUGUGGUUUAAUUCGAAGCAACGCGAAGAACCUUACCA
This 614-nucleotide ribosomal RNA is filed under the name Lacticaseibacillus rhamnosus. RNAcentral's name for it is "bacterial SSU rRNA". It matches the Rfam family "Bacterial small subunit ribosomal RNA", at positions 372 to 976 of the family's 1533-position model. Lineage: Bacteria; Bacillati; Bacillota; Bacilli; Lactobacillales; Lactobacillaceae. The record is from RNAcentral.